RNAcentral lists this ribosomal RNA (305 nucleotides) under uncultured bacterium. Its description in RNAcentral is "bacterial SSU rRNA". It matches the Rfam family "Bacterial small subunit ribosomal RNA", at positions 333 to 637 of the family's 1533-position model. The record is from RNAcentral.
UUGCGCCUACGGGACGCAGCAGUGAGGAAUAUUGGUCAAUGGGCGAGAGCCUGAACCAGCCAAGUCGCGUGAGGGAGUACUGCCCUAUGGGUUGUAAACCUCUUUUGUCGGGGAGCAAAAGCCGGACGUGUCCGGCUGUGAGAGUACCCGAAGAAAAAGCAUCGGCUAACUCCGUGCCAGCAGCCGCGGUAAUACGGAGGAUGCGAGCGUUAUCCGGAUUGAUUGGGUUUAAAGGGAGCGCAGGCGGAUUUUUAAGUCAGCGGUCAAAUCGUGGGGCUCAACCCCAUCCCGCCGUUGAAACUGGG